GGCGUCGGUGUGGGACGGCCUACCAUGCAAGUCGGGGCGGUAACAGGAAGCAGCUUGCUGCUUUGCUGACGAGCGGCGGACGGGUGAGUAAUGUCUGGGGAUCUGCCCGAUGGAGGGGGAUAACCACUGGAAACGGUGGCUAAUACCGCAUGACCUCUGAGGAGCAAAGUGGGGGACCUUCGGGCCUCACGCCAUCGGAUGAACCCAGAUGGGAUUAGCUAGUAGGUGGGGUAACGGCUCACCUAGGCGACGAUCCCUAGCUGGUCUGAGAGUGAUGCACCAGCGCACACUGGGACUGAGCACCACGGAACUCAGGAAUCGUCCUACGAUGCGUACGCAGUCAGCUGCGGACAUAAUUGGCACAAUCGGGCGCAAUGCCUGAACGGCAAUGCCAUGCCGAGAGUAUCGAACGCAAGGCAUUCAAGGAUAGUAAAUGUACCUUCAGGCGGGGAGGUAAGGCAGUGCAAGUCGAAUACAACUUCACGAUUGACGUCACCCGCAGAAGAAUGCUACCUGGCUAACUCCGUGCCAGCAGCCGCAGUAAUACGGAGGGUGCAAGCGUUAAUCGGAAUUACUGGGCGUAAAGCGCACGCAGGCGGUCAAUUAAGUUAGAUGUGAAAUCCCCGGGCCUCAACCUGGGAACUGCAUCUAAGACUGGUUGACUAGAGUCUCGUAGAGGGGGGGUAGAAUUCCACGUGUAGCGGUGAACAUGCGUAGAGAUGUGGAAGAAUACCGGGUGGCGAAGGCGGCCCCCCUGGACGAAGACCGACGCUCUAGGUGCCGAAAGUCGUCGCGCAACAAACAGGAUUACAUACCCUGGUAGUCUUCACGCCGGAAACCAUGUUCCACCUACGAAGUUGUGCGCCUUUGAGCCGUCGCCUUCCGAGAGCUAACGCGUGUAAGUCCACCCCCCCGGGGAGAUAGCGGUCGCACAGAUUAAAACUCAAAUGAAUUCGACGGGGGCACCGCACAAGCGGACUGGUAGCAUCUGGGUUUAUAGUCUGAUGCAAGCGCGAAGAACCGUACAUACUCCUGACAUACAGUCGAAUCCUUUCAGAGAUGAAGCGGUGCCUUCUGCACGAACACUGACACAGGUGCUGCAUGGCUGUCGUACAGCUCGAGUUGUGAAAUGAUGAGAUUAAGUCCCGCAACGAGCGCAACCCUUAUCCUCGGAUGCGUCUAGCACAUCGAUGAAGCUGGGAACUCAAGGGAGACUGCCGGUGAUAAACCGGAGGAAGGUGGGGAUGACGUCAAGUCAUCAUGGCCCUUACGAGUAGGGCUACACACGUGCUACAAUGGCAGAUACAAAGAGAAGCGACCUCGCGAGAGCAAGCGGAACUCAUAAAGUCUGUCGUAGUCCGGAUUGGAGUCUGCAACUCGACUCCAUGAAGUCGGAAUCGCUAGUAAUCGUAGAUCAGAAUGCUACGGUGAAUACGUUCCCGGGCCUCGUACACACCGCCCGUCACACCAUGGGAGUGGGUUGCAACAGAAGGAGGUAGCUUAACCUUCGGGAGGGCGCUUACCACUUUGUGAUUCAUGAACGGGGUGAAGUCGUUACGAGAAUCCAAGGCCA
This 1573-nucleotide ribosomal RNA is filed under the name Xenorhabdus stockiae. Its description in RNAcentral is "partial 16S ribosomal RNA". It matches the Rfam family "Bacterial small subunit ribosomal RNA". The record is from RNAcentral. Lineage: Bacteria; Pseudomonadati; Pseudomonadota; Gammaproteobacteria; Enterobacterales; Morganellaceae.